GCCUGGGGUCACAGCAGGGCCCCUCCGAGCUGCCCUGUGGUGAUUCAUGAGACCAGUCCUUUCCCUGUGUGAGUCUCUGCUUCUGCGCCCCAUCAUUUCAGCUUGGUUCAUGAGUCCAUUCUCCCAUUCACCUGGCUGCCUUGUAACUGAAACAGCAGCCGAUGUUUUUGUCACACACAGGAACUUUAGGUUCAUUUACUCAUUUAAUCUCCAGCAUAUGGAUAUGAGAGCUGAGGUAUAUAUGCCCAUUUUCUGGACAAAAAUACUGAGGCGCCGAGAGGUAACAAUUUGCUGAAGGACACACAUCUCACGUCAGUAGCAGAAUCAAGUGACUUCUUCUUCAGUUUCCAGAGCCUUUACCCAAACACAGGAUGCCUUCAGCCGCAGACAGGCACCACACACAGUCCUUCUGUGAGCCCUCUUUGCAGGGAGCAGCAGCUUCCCAGGAGAAUGGCAGCUUCAGAGACAACCCAGUCACCCUCUUACUACAGACAAAUGCUUACAAGAAUCUCCUUGAACCCUCCUGGCACUCCGCCCCCCCAAACCCCACAGGGCUCUUUCUGUGCACAUCACAGGAAGCUCCUCAGCCCUUACGUCCUCCAAGGCACUGUCCUCAACACACACUAGAUGCUGACACAAAUCGCCCCAUGUACUCUUGCCUAUACAGAGACCAGGCGCUUUCUUGGUAUGCUCUACUCAAACCUGGGUCUCUCCCUGGAAUGCUGACAUUUGGGCCAGCUCAGUCUUUGUCCUGAGGGGCUGUGCUGUGUGGCAUAAGCUGUGUUCUCUACUGGAUGCCUGAAGAAACCCCCACUGUGUUCUGUUCCCUGAAGGACUUUGCUGAAUACUGCCUGGCCUGCCUCCUGAGGGGCUUGCCUGGCUUACAUUAAUAGUUAAUACCAUAAACAGUUAAAUGUGCUUACUACAUGCCAGGUCCUGUGCUAGAUACAUUUCAUGUUUGAAUUCACUACAGAUUUAUGAGCCUACAGUGCAGCACUGUCCCUUCCAGUCUACAGACACGAAAACAAUGAGCUUAAAUCCCAAGGUCUCACAUCUGGCAGGUGGGCAGUCUGUUAUACCUAAGGAAAUCUAGGCUUCCCCUUCCACCAAAGACGGAAUUUUACUUUUUAUUGUAUUAAAUACAUAUAACAAGAUUACCAUUUGACCGCUUUAGCAUAAGCAGACUGGCAUAUGGUAUGGAGGAGCUUUUGCCCUCCCCAUGCCCUUUUAGAAGAAGCUUCUACCUUAGGCAAUGAGGUGCAGCUAUAAAUACAUGACGAAUACGAAACACACACACACACACACACACACACACACACACACACACACACACACACAAUGAGGGCUGGAAUCCCAUGUUUAGAUUCUGUUCUUUUUCUCCAUGUUCAGGAUCUUGCAUCUAGGCAGGUGUCCAGUAACAAGGAAGCAAUGGGAUGUUGUCAGAUGAAGAAGAGAGGAUGGGUAAGUAGCUAAAACGAUGUGGGGACCAGCCAUUUGGGGUGCUCAGCUUUGCAGAGAAAGUGAGGACCUUAGAAGUUUAUGAGAUCACUGGCUGCUUCCCCACUUACUUCUGACCAACCCACCUCUCAGUCUCCAGCAGCCAUGAGCCUCUUUCUGCCUUACCUGAAGAUUUCUGAUUACCAUUAGCUUAUUAUUUUCCUACAGACCCUGAGUAUGUCCUGGUGAUGCAUUUUAAAGAGGCCUGAUGAAGAGCGCCCAUCGGUCCCUUGUUUCCAGCCCCAACGUGUGUACUCCUGGGCCCUUUACACUUCUUUGCUAGUGUCCGAGACUCCUCUGCAACCCAAGCUACAUCUGUCCACAAUCACUAGUCUGACUCUACUGCUCUUGCUGCCUCUGGGCAGUGCAGGAAAUGAAGCUCCAGAUUACACAUGCUGGCCAGGAAACACAAGGUGAGGUCCAUAGUAUCUUACUGGUGUUUGUGGUAAUUAGAGUAUGUCUGGGGGAAAAUGGUGGAUGACCUUAUUAAAGGUUUGAAUGGAACCAGUGAUUCUAUUUCCAGAAUUCUCCUAGGCAGUUCUAAAGACAAAGAUUUAAAUAGACAUGUGUGUGUGUGUGUGUGUGUGUGUUGUGUAUGUAUGUGUACAUGUGUGUGCAUGUGUAUGUGUGCAUGUGUAUGUGUGCAUGUGUAUGUGUGCAUGUGUAUGUGUGUAUGUGUAUAAGCAACAUUAUAUAACAGGUAAUGUGUUAUUACACACUAACCAAAGAGGUCAGAGUCACCUCAGGUGAGGGGAUCCACCCAUGUAAUGUGUUAUGACAAACACACUAAACAAAGAUGUCAGAGUCACCUCAGGCGAGAGAAUCCACCCUCAAAGAUUAUUAGGGGAGUCACAGUCUGCUGCACCAGAGGCAGGCAUGUUCCUCAUUUUAGUAAAUGAAAGGGACCAAAAAAAAAAAA
RNAcentral lists this small RNA (2416 nucleotides) under Rattus norvegicus (Norway rat). RNAcentral's name for it is "uncharacterized LOC102553678". Lineage: Eukaryota; Metazoa; Chordata; Mammalia; Rodentia; Muridae. The record is from RNAcentral.